UGGCGGCGUGCUUAACACAUGCAAGUCGAACGAAGAGGAUAAGAAAGAGCGCUUCGGCAGGAUUUUUUAUCAUCUUAGUGGCGGACGGGUGAGUAACGUGUGGGCAACCUGCCCUGUACUGUGGAAUAAUCAUUGGAAACGAUGACUAAUACCGCAUGUGGUCCUCAGAGGGCAUCCUCAGAGGAAGAAAGGAUACGUUCGGUACAGGAUAGGCCCGCAUCUGAUUAGCUAGUUGGUGAGAUAACAGCCCACCAAGGCGACGAUCAGUAGCCGACCUGAGAGGGUGAUCGGCCACAUUGGGACUGAGACACGGCCCAAACUCCUACGGGAGGCAGCAGUGGGGAAUAUUGCACAAUGGGGGAAACCCUGAUGCAGCAACGCCGCGUGAAGGAAGAAGGUUUUCGGAUCGUAAACUUCUAUCAAUAGGGAAGAAAGAAAUGACGGUACCUAAAUAAGAAGCCCCGGCUAACUACGUGCCAGCAGCCGCGGUAAUACGUAGGGGGCAAGCGUUAUCCGGAAUUACUGGGUGUAAAGGGAGCGUAGGCGGCAUGGUAAGCCAGAUGUGAAAGCCUUGGGCUUAACCCGAGGAUUGCAUUUGGAACUAUCAAGCUAGAGUACAGGAGAGGAAAGCGAAAUUCCUAGUGUAGCGGUGAAAUGCGUAGAUAUUAGGGAGAACACCAGUGGCGAAGGCGGCUUUCUGGACUGAAACUGACGCUGAGGCUCGAAAGCGUGGGGAGCGAACAGGAUUAGAUACCCUGGUAGUCCACGCCGUAAACGAUGAGUGCUAGGUGUCGGGGAGGAAUCCUCGGUGCCGCAGCAAACGCAAUAAGCACUCCACCUGGGGAGUACGACCGCAAGGUUGAAACUCAAGGAAUUGACGGGGGCCCGCACAAGCGGUGGAGCAUGUGGUUUAAUUCGAAGCAACGCGAAGAACCUUACCAAGGCUUGACAUCCCGAUGACCGGNACAGAGAUGUACCUUCUCUUCGGAGCAUUGGU
This 997-nucleotide ribosomal RNA is filed under the name uncultured bacterium. Its description in RNAcentral is "bacterial SSU rRNA". It matches the Rfam family "Bacterial small subunit ribosomal RNA", at positions 37 to 1032 of the family's 1533-position model. The record is from RNAcentral.